RNAcentral lists this ribosomal RNA (119 nucleotides) under Pteropus alecto (black flying fox). The record is from RNAcentral. Lineage: Eukaryota; Metazoa; Chordata; Mammalia; Chiroptera; Pteropodidae.
GUCUACGGCCAUGCCACCAUGAAUAAGCCUGAUCCCGUCUGAUCUCGGAAGCUAAGCAGGAUCGGGCCUGGUUAGUACUUGGAUGGAAGACCACCUAGGAAGACCAGGUGUUGUAGGUG